Molecule: long non-coding RNA, 469 nt
Organism: Panthera uncia (snow leopard)
Lineage: Eukaryota; Metazoa; Chordata; Mammalia; Carnivora; Felidae
Exons: 3
Source: RefSeq, a predicted model, not a curated record
CUCUCUCUCUCUCUCUCUCUCUCUCUCUAGGGAGGAUGUGAAGACAAAGAAUUCUACUUUCUUAAUAUGGCCACUCAAAGAAACUGACACUGGGGAUUUACAAGAGCUAAGACCGGAGAACCCUAGAAAGAAGAAAAAGAAACCUUCCAAGAGGUUGCCUCUCCAGGAAACGGUGUCCUUAGAAUCUGAUGACUCUUCUCAUGGCAUCAGGUCCCAAGAGUCCUACCCCAAGAAACACCCCAAGCCCAAGAGCCACCCACAGCAGCAAAGGGCUGAGGACCACUGCUGAGAAACCUUAAAGCAGUCUAGUGGCAACUAUGUUUAAGAGAGCCAGCAUUCCUCCAGGGCUGCCUAGACCUCAGCCAGUCAACACUGUGGAACUAGCCUCUCUGCUGAGUCUGUUGUAGGUACCUCUAGUUGAGUGCGGAACCACAAUAAAAACUCUUACAUUGGAAACAUUUCAAAACUA